GUAUCAUGACUGUCAGCUUAACGAAGAAGGCUGACCACCUGCCUCAACGUUGCCUUCAAGAAACGUGGGUUCUGCGAACAUUAUGACUCACUCCUUUGCAUACAGCAUAUUCACGUGAUUGGCAGUAACACGGUUAUGUUCAAGCUGUUCUAGACCACACUUUGCAUGAAUCUUAGUCAAAGAGCAACACACUUUGCCAGGUUGUGGCGUUCAAGGAUCCCGCUAUAACAUCUGACGUUUCGUACUUCCGCACGCCACCUUGAACGCAGCGUGAUUCUGCGAUGGCGGCUGCUCCACCUGGUCGGGCUGCUGGCUCCAGCGGGCAGCUCUUUCCCUGGGUUUUUCCACAAGGAAAAGUUACCUUGGAAAGCGAGAGUUCCAGAGUCUAAAGACCUGUGGCACCUCGUCUACUAAAACCUGGAGGCCUUUUAGUUAUGCAUUCUUGUUAAACCUUCAUUCAGAGACAACCCCAAGCUGAAGAGUUUGAACUCUAAACAUGUCCAAGGAUACGGACCAUGAAGAGAUGCAGAAGCUGACCGGAGGAUGGCUUAUGUACAAGGCUACAGGUGGAGAAAGCUUGCAUGGAUUCCGAGAUGGCAGCAGAGGAUUUUGAGGAGCAGAAGACCAUGGGAUGGCUGAGUCAACUGCCUGGACAAUGGAGAAGAGCAGAUCAAAAGGAGCAGAAGACCAUGGGAUGGCUGAGUCAACUGCCAUGAGCCUGGACAAUGGAGAAGAGCAG
Molecule: long non-coding RNA, 739 nt
Organism: Cyclopterus lumpus (lumpfish)
Lineage: Eukaryota; Metazoa; Chordata; Actinopteri; Perciformes; Cyclopteridae
Exons: 5
Source: RefSeq, a predicted model, not a curated record